This 73-nucleotide transfer RNA is filed under the name Marmota monax (woodchuck). RNAcentral's name for it is "tRNA.Val". It matches the Rfam family "tRNA". From Rfam's summary of the family: Transfer RNA (tRNA) molecules are approximately 80 nucleotides in length. The record is from RNAcentral. Lineage: Eukaryota; Metazoa; Chordata; Mammalia; Rodentia; Sciuridae.
GGCUAUUCUAGCUCAGUUGGUAGAGUGCUUGCCUCACAUGCACAAAAAGACCUGGGUUCAAUCCCCAGAGCCA